This 628-nucleotide long non-coding RNA is filed under the name Drosophila guanche. The record is from RNAcentral. Lineage: Eukaryota; Metazoa; Arthropoda; Insecta; Diptera; Drosophilidae.
CAUUCAAAGCAACAAAAGCUGCGGGUCAGGGUGGGCUUAGCCUCGGCAGAGGCAGAGGCCGCAUACUGCAGAAGCAGAGUGUGAAUGAUAGAAUGUGAAAAAAAAAAAAAUAUAAGCUGCGGGACGGGGUGGGUUUAGCCACUGCAAAUUAAUUUCUUCAUUCAUUCUUCAUAAUAAUGGUCCAAUCGGAUCCCAAUUUUUUGAUCUGAUAGAUACCUACUGAUCUGGUCCUUUCCUACUGCAUGGCGUUUUUAGUUUAGUUUUCUUUUAUCUUCAAAAUUGAUUUUGGAGGUUUCCGCCCUUUUUCCGGGGCGGAAGGGGGGCGGUCUCAUUUUUUAAAUACACUUGUAACAGUGUGAGCAUACAGAAGUCUGGAUGCAAAAUUUGGUGGCUCUAGCUUUUAGUCUCUGAGAUCCAGGCGCUCCAGACAGACAUGGCUCUAUCGACUCUAUCGAUUCGGCUAUUGAUGCUGACCAAGAAUAUAUAUACUUUAUGGGGUCGGAAACGUUUCUUUAUGUGCGUUACAUACAACCGUUAUUCUCACAAAUACAAUAUACCCUAUUUACUCUUCGAGUACCGGGUGUAAUUAAAGCCCUCAGCUAUCAGAAAAUAUCAUUUUGGUUCGCAG